RNAcentral lists this ribosomal RNA (212 nucleotides) under uncultured bacterium. RNAcentral describes it as "partial 16S ribosomal RNA". It matches the Rfam family "Bacterial small subunit ribosomal RNA", at positions 1288 to 1500 of the family's 1533-position model. The record is from RNAcentral.
UCAGUUCAGAUUGCAGGCUGCAACCCGCCUGCAUGAAGUCGGAAUUGCUAGUAAUCGCGGAUCAGCAUGCCGCGGUGAAUACGUUCCCGGGCCUUGUACACACCGCCCGUCACACCAUGGGAGCCGGUAAUACCCGAAGUCAGUAGUCCAACCUCGUGAGGACGCUGCCGAAGGUAGGAUUGGCGACUGGGGUGAAGUCGUAACAAGGUAGC